AGGUUAAGUUAACAAGGGCGCAUGGUGAAUGCCUUGGCACUAGGAGCCGAUGAAGGACGGGACUAACACCGAUAUGCUUCGGGGAGCUGUACGUAAGCUAUGAUCCGGAGAUUUCCGAAUGGGGCAACCCAGCAGUUUUAAUCAACUGUUACCACUAGAUGAAUUCAUAGUCUGUUGGAGGUAAACGCUGUGAACUGAAACAUCUCAUUAGCAGCAGGAAUAUAAAGAAAUUUCGAUUCCCUAAGUAGCGGCGAGCGAACGGGGAACAGCCCAAACCAAAGUGCUUGCACUUUGGGGUUGUAGGACUGAACAUUUGAGUUACCAAAGAACUUGAUAGUCGAAGGAUUUGGGAAAAUCCGCCAUAGAUGGUGAUAGCCCAGUAGAUUAAAUCAAAUUCUCUCAGUUCAGGAUCCUGAGUACGGCGGAACACGUGAAAUUCCGUCGGAAUCCGGGAGGACCAUCUCCCAAGGCUAAAUACUACCUAGUGACCGAUAGUGAACCAGUACCGUGAGGGAAAGGUGAAAAGCACCCCGGGAGGGGAGUGAAAUAGUUCCUGAAACCAUGUGCCUACAAUAAGUCAGAGCGCGUUAAUGCGUGAUGGCGUGCCUUUUGUAGAAUGAACCGGCGAGUUAUGAUCCCGUGCAAGGUUAAGACUAAAAAGUCGGAGCCGUAGCGAAAGCGAGUCUGAAAUGGGCGUUUUGAGUACGAGGUUAUAGACCCGAAACCAGGUGACCUAUCCAUGUCCAGGUUGAAGGUGCGGUAAAACGCACUGGAGGACCGAACCCGUGUAAGUUGAAAAUUGCUGGGAUGAGGUGUGGAUAGCGGUGAAAUUCCAAACGAACUUGGAGAUAGCUGGUUCUCUCCGAAAUAGCUUUAGGGCUAGCCUCGGAAUUAGGAUCAUGGAGGUAGAGCACUAUUUGGACUAGGGGCCCGUCUUGGGUUACUGAAUUCAGAUAAACUCCGAAUGCCAUUGAUUCAUAUCCGGGAGUCAGACGAUGAGUGAUAAGAUCCACCGUCGAAAGGGGAACAGCCCAGACCAUCAGUUAAGGUCCCUAAAUGUAUGCUAAGUGGAAAAGGAUGUGGAGUUGCAUAGACAACUAGGAUGUUGGCUCAGAAGCAGCCACCAUUUAAAGAGUGCGUAAUAGCUCACUAGUCGAGUGAUCCUGCGCCGAAAAUGUACCGGGGCUAAGCAUACUACCGAAACCAUGGAUGCGACCAUUAGGUCGCGUGAUAGGAGAGCGUUCUAAGGGCGGUGAAGCAAGAUCGUGAGGACUUGUGGAGCGCUUAGAAGUGAGAAUGCCGGUAUGAGUAGCGAAAGAUAGGUGAGAAUCCUAUCCACCGAAUGACUAAGGUUUCCUGGGGAAGGCUCGUCCUCCCAGGGUUAGUCGGGACCUAAGUCGAGGCCGAGAGGCGUAGACGAUGGAUAACAGGUUGAGAUUCCUGUACUAGUUAAGUGCGUUUGAGCAAUGGAGGGACGCAGGAGGCUAAGAUGUGCAUUCUGUUGGAUUAGAAUGUCCAAGCAGUAAGUCUUGUGAAGAGUCAAAUGCUUUUCACUUUAAGGACAAGCUGUGAUGGGGAGCGAAAUUUAGUAGCGAAGCGUCUGAUGUCACACUGCCGAGAAAAGCUUCUAGUGAGUACUUAACUACCCGUACCGCAAACCGACACAGGUAGUCGAGGAGAGAAUCCUAAGGUGAGCGAGUGAACUCUCGUUAAGGAACUCGGCAAAAUGACCCCGUAACUUCGGGAGAAGGGGUGCUGAUCGCAAGAUCAGCCGCAGUGAAUAGGCCCAGGCGACUGUUUAUCAAAAACACAGGUCUCUGCAAAAUCGUAAGAUGACGUAUAGGGGCUGACGCCUGCCCGGUGCUGGAAGGUUAAAAGGAUGGGUUAGCUUCGGCGAAGCUCAGAAUUGAAGCCCCAGUAAACGGCGGCCGUAACUAUAACGGUCCUAAGGUAGCGAAAUUCCUUGUCGGGUAAGUUCCGACCCGCACGAAAGGCGUAACGAUCUGGGCACUGUCUCAACGAGAGACUCGGUGAAAUUAUAUUGUCCGUGAAGAUGCGGACUACCCGCGACAGGACGGAAAGACCCCAUGGAGCUUUACUGUAGCUUGAUAUUGAGUGUUUGUACAGCUUGUACAGGAUAGGUAGGAGCCAUAGAAACCGGAACGCUAGUUUCGGUGGAGGCGUUGGUGGGAUACUACCCUCGCUGUAUGACCACUCUAACCCGCACCACUAAUCGUGGUGGGAGACAGUGUCAGGUGGGCAGUUUGACUGGGGCGGUCGCCUCCUAAAAAGUAACGGAGGCGCCCAAAGGUUCCCUCAGAAUGGUUGGAAAUCAUUCGCAGAGUGUAAAGGCACAAGGGAGCUUGACUGCGAGACAGACAGGUCGAGCAGGGACGAAAGUCGGGCUUAGUGAUCCGGUGGUACCGUAUGGAAGGGCCAUCGCUCAACGGAUAAAAGCUACCCUGGGGAUAACAGGCUUAUCUCCCCCAAGAGUCCACAUCGACGGGGAGGUUUGGCACCUCGAUGUCGGCUCAUCGCAUCCUGGGGCUGUAGUCGGUCCCAAGGGUUGGGCUGUUCGCCCAUUAAAGCGGUACGCGAGCUGGGUUCAGAACGUCGUGAGACAGUUCGGUCCCUAUCCGUCGCGGGCGUAGGAAAUUUGAGAGGACCUGUCCUUAGUACGAGAGGACCGGGAUGGACAUACCUCUGGUGUACCAGUUGUGCCGCCAGGCGCAUCGCUGGGUAGCUACGUAUGGAUGUGAUAAACGCUGAAAGCAUCUAAGUGUGAAACACACCUCGAGAUGAGAUUUCCCAUUCCUUUAUGGAAGUAAGACCCCUGAAAGAUGAUCAGGUAGAUAGGUUAGAAGUGGCAGUGCGGUGACGCAUGAAGCGGACUAAUACUAAUCGGUCGAGGACUUAACCAAG
This 2922-nucleotide ribosomal RNA is filed under the name Lactiplantibacillus plantarum. RNAcentral's name for it is "bacterial LSU rRNA". It matches the Rfam family "Bacterial large subunit ribosomal RNA". Lineage: Bacteria; Bacillati; Bacillota; Bacilli; Lactobacillales; Lactobacillaceae. The record is from RNAcentral.